GUGGGGAAUCUUGCGCAAUGGGCGAAAGCCUGACGCAGCCAUGCCGCGUGGAUGAUGAAGGUCUUAGGAUUGUAAAAUCCUUUCACCGGUGAAGAUAAUGACGGUAGCCAAGAAGGAAGCCCCGGCUAACUUCGUGCCAGCAGCCGCGGUAAUACGAAGGGGGCUAGCGUUGCUCGGAUUUACUGGGCGUAAAGGGCGCGUAGGCGGACAUUUAAGUCAGGGGUGAAAUCCCGGGGCUCAACCUCGGAACUGCCUUUGAUACUGGGUGUCUUGAGUAUGAGAGAGGUGUGUGGAACUCCGAGUGUAGAGGUGAAAUUCGUAGAUAUUCGGAAGAACACCAGUGGCGAAGGCGACACACUGGCUCAUUACUGACGCUGAGGCGCGAAAGCGUGGGGAGCAAACAGGAUUAGAUACCCUUGUAGUCC
This 425-nucleotide ribosomal RNA is filed under the name uncultured bacterium. RNAcentral describes it as "partial 16S ribosomal RNA". It matches the Rfam family "Bacterial small subunit ribosomal RNA", at positions 354 to 796 of the family's 1533-position model. The record is from RNAcentral.